AGCGAACGCUGGCGGCAGGCCUAACACAUGCAAGUCGAACGGAUCCUUCGGGAUUAGUGGCGGACGGGUGAGUAACACGUGGGAACGUGCCCUUUGGUUCGGAACAACUCAGAGAAACUUGAGCUAAUACCGGAUGUGCCCUUCGGGGGAAAGAUUUAUCGCCAUUGGAGCGGCCCGCGUCUGAUUAGCUAGUUGGUGAGGUAACGGCCCACCAAGGCGACGAUCAGUAGCUGGUCUGAGAGGAUGAUCAGCCACACUGGGACUGAGACACGGCCCAGACUCCUACGGGAGGCAGCAGUGGGGAAUCUUGCGCAAUGGGCGAAAGCCUGACGCAGCCAUGCCGCGUGAAUGAUGAAGGUCUUAGGAUUGUAAAAUUCUUUCAGCGGGGACGAUAAUGACGGUACCCGCAGAAGAAGCUCCGGCUAACUUCGUG
This 433-nucleotide ribosomal RNA is filed under the name uncultured bacterium. RNAcentral describes it as "partial 16S ribosomal RNA". It matches the Rfam family "Bacterial small subunit ribosomal RNA", at positions 29 to 507 of the family's 1533-position model. The record is from RNAcentral.